RNAcentral lists this ribosomal RNA (301 nucleotides) under uncultured bacterium. RNAcentral describes it as "partial 16S ribosomal RNA". It matches the Rfam family "Bacterial small subunit ribosomal RNA", at positions 509 to 809 of the family's 1533-position model. The record is from RNAcentral.
CAGCCGCCGCGGGAAUACGUAGGUGGCAAGCGUUGUCCGGAAUUAUUGGGCGUAAAGGGCUCGCAGGCGGUUUCUUAAGUCUGAUGUGAACGCCCCCGGCUCAACCGGGGAGGGUCAUUGGAAACUGGGAAACUUGAGUGCAGAAGAGGAGAGUGGAAUUCCACGUGUAGCGGUGAAAUGCGUAGAGAUGUGGAGGAACACCAGUGGCGAAGGCGACUCUCUGGUCUGUAACUGACGCUGAGGAGCGAAAGCGUGGGGAGCGAACAGGAUUAGAUACCCGAGUAGUCCCUGUCUCUUAUAA